UACAUAGGGAGCGAGCGUUAUCCGGAUUUAUUGGGUGUAAAGGGUGCGUAGACGGGAAUACAAGUUGGUUGUGAAAGCCCUCGGCUUAACUGAGGAACUGCAACCGAAACUAUAUUUCUUGAGUACUGGAGAGGAAAGUGGAAUUCCUAGUGUAGCGGUGAAAUGCGUAGAUAUUAGGAGGAACACCAGUGGCGAAGGCGACUUUCUGGACAGAAACUGACGUUGAGGCACGAAAGUGUGGGGAGCAAACA
This 251-nucleotide ribosomal RNA is filed under the name uncultured bacterium. RNAcentral describes it as "partial 16S ribosomal RNA". It matches the Rfam family "Bacterial small subunit ribosomal RNA", at positions 524 to 774 of the family's 1533-position model. The record is from RNAcentral.